CCUACGGGGGGCAGCAGUCGAGAAUCAUUCACAAUGGGGGAAACUCUGAUGGUGCGACGCCGCGUGGGGGAAUGAAGGUCUUCGGAUUGUAAACCCCUGUCAUGUGGGAGCAAAUUAAAAAGAUAGUACCACUAGAGGAAGAGACGCCUAACUCUGUGCCAGCAGCCGCGGUAAUACAGAGGUCGCAAGCGUUGUUCGGUUUCACUGGGCGUAAAGGGUGCGUAGGCUGUUUCGUAAGUCAUGUGUGAAAGGCGCGGGCUCAACCGGGGAACGGCAAAUAAUACUGCGAGACUAGAGUAAUGGAGGGGGAACCGGAAUUCUCGGUGUAGCAGUGAAAUGCGUAGAUAUCGGGAGGAACACUCGUGGCGAAGGCGAGUUCCUGGACAUUAACUGACGCUGAGGCACGAAGGCCAGGGGAGCGAAAGGGAUUAGAUACCCCUGUAGUC
RNAcentral lists this ribosomal RNA (446 nucleotides) under uncultured bacterium. RNAcentral describes it as "partial 16S ribosomal RNA". It matches the Rfam family "Bacterial small subunit ribosomal RNA", at positions 338 to 795 of the family's 1533-position model. The record is from RNAcentral.